Molecule: ribosomal RNA, 489 nt
Filed under: uncultured bacterium
Lineage: Bacteria
Description: bacterial SSU rRNA
Rfam family: Bacterial small subunit ribosomal RNA
Source: RNAcentral
GACGAACGCUGGCGGCGUGCUUAACACAUGCAAGUCGAGCGGUAAGGCCCUUCGGGGUACACGAGCGGCGAACGGGUGAGUAACACGUGAGUAACCUGCCCUGGACUCUGGGAUAACCCCGAGAAAUCGGAGCUAAUACCGGAUAGGACCUUGCACCGCAUGGUGUGGGGUGGAAAGUUUUUUCGGUCUGGGAUGGACUCGCGGCCUAUCAGCUUGUUGGUGAGGUAAUGGCUCACCAAGGCGUCGACGGGUAGCCGGCCUGAGAGGGUGACCGGCCACACUGGGACUGAGACACGGCCCAGACUCCUACGGGAGGCAGCAGUGGGGAAUAUUGCACAAUGGGCGCAAGCCUGAUGCAGCAACGCCGCGUGCGGGAUGACGGCCUUCGGGUUGUAAACCGCUUUUAGUAAGGAAGAAGGGGAGCUUGCUCCUUGACGGUACUUGCAGAAAAAGGACCGGCUAACUACGUGCCAGCAGCCGCAGUAAAAC